RNAcentral lists this ribosomal RNA (459 nucleotides) under Triticum aestivum (bread wheat). RNAcentral describes it as "partial small subunit ribosomal RNA". The record is from RNAcentral. Lineage: Eukaryota; Viridiplantae; Streptophyta; Magnoliopsida; Poales; Poaceae.
AUGGAUCAUCUUGUCAUCAAUGACGAUAUUGCUGCUGGAGAGGCCUUACCCUCAGGGCAGGUCCUCCAGCUCGGCGGUUUUACCAUAGGCACUCGCCCGACCAUUAAGCCAGCGGCGGCACCCACAAUCGCUGAACAUCUUGUCUGUAUCAAUCUCGAACAGUCCAAAAAGAUGGGUCCGGCAGAUCCCGCUUCCUUGAACGAGCUGCUAGAUUGCAUCGCCGCCCUAGGGGUCACAACAAACUAUGAUCGGAUCGGGCUUAAACCUGAUCAGAGGGAAAUCAAGUCCCCACAGAUCCCCCAUCAGGUAGUGAUUUUUGAGGAACAAGCUGAGAACAUUGCAUAUCGCCCUAAGUUAAGCACCAGAUAUGUUUGGAUCUCUGAGCCGGUUUCCCAACCUCAGCGGGAGACAACAUGUCUGUCAAACACAGGAUCAAGCAUUGAGCCCGAAAGCCCUUAG